ACAGAUGGUUAAUCGGGGCCGAGUUUUAAAGAUAAGGCAUUCUGGAGCAGGGCAGAUGGAGGCAAGAAAGGCCCGAUAUUCUGUGAGCCCAUCAGCCCAUCCUGUGCACUCUGCAGGUGCAGGACCCGUUUGGGAGACACUGGCGAGGUGUGCAGAGGGACGGCCAGACUGGGAGAGGGGACACGGUUGUGUUUACCGUGAUAAUCCAGGUGGGACAAUCAAGUCAGUGUUUCCUCUCCCUCUUCAGGAUAGUCAAGGAAAGGAAUGGUAUGGUUCCCUGCCCUUUCAGUUCACAAGUUUGUUGCCCACUGAUGCUCCAUGAAUAAAGCUGGAAGGAAGAUCUUACUUUGGGAGUAGAGCAAGGAAGACCUGGAAGGGGGAAAACCAGGAAUGUAGAAGCCCCAAGAAUUCCUAUUUCAGGACUCCGUUCUUCGGGACAUUUUUGCCUGAUGUAAAGAAACAUUGUCGCACCCAACCAACUUCACUGGUGUGCCGCUCCCCGGCCUGAGCUGGAAUUCCUCAUAGAAGCAGCCAAGAGCACACUGACCAUCUGUGACAUCAUAUUACUCUGCAUCUGGACCCAAGUCCAAGGUCUAUCUUCUUACAGAGUCCAUUUCUCCUUUUUAAGAGAUCUUUGCUUUUGCAGGAAAACUAAGGAUAUUACCUGGGUCUUAGAAAAGCAGGCAAGUGAAUGUAUGUGGGGGCUGUGAUAUGUGAACUUUCCUAAAAAUGACAUUAUUGAGCAAUUGGAAACGUGUUAAUUCCAGCUUUCUUCCACGGAUUUUGUGUGUGUGG
Molecule: long non-coding RNA, 795 nt
Organism: Ailuropoda melanoleuca (giant panda)
Lineage: Eukaryota; Metazoa; Chordata; Mammalia; Carnivora; Ursidae
Exons: 3
Source: RefSeq, a predicted model, not a curated record